GAUGAACGCUGGCGGCGUGCCUAAUACAUGCAAGUCGAGCGAACGGACGAGAAGCUUGCUGCUCUGAUGUUAGCGGCGGACGGGUGAGUAACACGUGGAUAACCUACCUAUAAGACUGGGAUAACUUCGGGAAACCGUAGCUAAUACCGGAUAAUAUUUUGAACCGCAUGGUUCAAAAGUGAAAGACGGUCUUGCUGUCACUUAUAGAUGGAUCCGCGCUGCAUUAGCUAGUUGGUAAGGUAACGGCUUACCAAGGCAACGAUGCAUAGCCGACCUGAGAGGGUGAUCGGCCACACUGGAACUGAGACACGGUCCAGACUCCUACGGGAGGCAGCAGUAGGGAAUCUUCCGCAAUGGGCGAAAGCCUGACGGAGCAACGCCGCGUGAGUGAUGAAGGUCUUCGGAUCGUAAAACUCUGUUAUUAGGGAAGAACAUAUGUGUAAGUAACUGUGCACAUCUUGACGGUACCUAAUCAGAAAGCCACGGCUAACUACGUG
Molecule: ribosomal RNA, 497 nt
Filed under: uncultured bacterium
Lineage: Bacteria
Description: partial 16S ribosomal RNA
Rfam family: Bacterial small subunit ribosomal RNA
Source: RNAcentral